AUGAACGCUGGCGGCGUGCCUAAUACAUGCAAGUCGAGCGAACGGACGAGAAGCUUGCUUCUCUGAUGUUAGCGGCGGACGGGUGAGUAACACGUGGAUAACCUACCUAUAAGACUGGGAUAACUUCGGGAAACCGGAGCUAAUACCGGAUAAUAUUUUGAACCGCAUGGUUCAAAAGUAAAAGACGGUCUUGCUGUCACUUAUAGAUGGAUCCGCGCUGCAUUAGCUAGUUGGUAAGGUAACGGCUUACCAAGGCAACGAUGCAUAGCCGACCUGAGAGGGUGAUCGGCCACACUGGAACUGAGACACGGUCCAGACUACUACGGGAGGCAGCAGUAGGGAAUCUUCCGCAAUGGGCGAAAGCCUGACGGAGCAACGCCGCGUGAGUGAUGAAGGUCUUCGGAUCGUAAAACUCUGUUAUUAGGGAAGAACAUAUGUGUAAGUAACUGUGCACAUCUUGACGGUACCUAAUCAGAAAGCCACGGCUAACUACGU
RNAcentral lists this ribosomal RNA (495 nucleotides) under uncultured bacterium. RNAcentral's name for it is "partial 16S ribosomal RNA". It matches the Rfam family "Bacterial small subunit ribosomal RNA", at positions 29 to 506 of the family's 1533-position model. The record is from RNAcentral.